UGCUACAAAAAUAUUGUGUGAAAUAUUCAGUUCACAUUUAUUUCUCACUGGGUCGAAAAGCAAAUGAAAAAUACACAAAAUACACUUUUUUUUGUUUGACAUUUUGAAAUGGCUUCUCAGUUUGCUCAUCUGGGAACGCCACUACCACAACAGUUAAAUGAUUAAUAAUAACGUUGGGUUUCCAUAAUGGAAAACACUACCCUACACUCCUACUCAUGGCUACAUUUGUUUAAUCGUUUCUUUAACAUGGCAUCCCCUACUGAUGGUGGAAUUUGUUGAAUCGUUUAUUUAACAUUGCAUCCUGCUCGCAUCCAACAGCGCGCUACCAAAUUCUACACGGGAUGGACACCCACAUAGACUUCCACAUAGAGGACUACAUCUUCCUUUGCGGCUGGACCGCAAAGCUAGAGGAUACAAUACAACUUUUAUGAAAUGCGUUCUUGUUAUCAAUAAAUAAAAUAGCAUUUA
Molecule: long non-coding RNA, 468 nt
Organism: Drosophila miranda
Lineage: Eukaryota; Metazoa; Arthropoda; Insecta; Diptera; Drosophilidae
Exons: 4
Source: RefSeq, a predicted model, not a curated record